Molecule: small RNA, 102 nt
Filed under: Chryseobacterium arachidis
Lineage: Bacteria; Pseudomonadati; Bacteroidota; Flavobacteriia; Flavobacteriales; Weeksellaceae
Description: Flavo-1 RNA
Source: RNAcentral
ACGCAGCCCGACUUGAGCGGAAAUCCUUUUUUGCCAUCCUGAUUUUUCUAUUUUAGCCGAAAUGUUCUGCAAAAAAGAUUGGGAGUGGAAGGCGGAUUAAGC